Molecule: non-coding RNA, 94 nt
Filed under: Thalassiosira punctigera
Lineage: Eukaryota; Bacillariophyta; Thalassiosirophyceae; Thalassiosirales; Thalassiosiraceae
Source: RNAcentral
ACAGGGACGACGGCGCGUCCGUCGCCGGGGACAGCGUGAACACGGAGGACACGGAGCAGGUGGCGAACAGCAGGGCGGCGAACGCCAGGCGAAA